GUUAAGAACAUGCAUCAGAGAUGAUCCUACUGCAUUUCUUCAGAAAAUCGGCCCACACACCUGCAAAUGAACAGAUGAGAGAGAGAGACAGAGAGAGAGAGAGACAGAGACAGAGAGAGAGCUGAAUAUCCUUGAGAGCCUUUCUUAAUUUCUUCGUGCUCCAUCUGUUGAAAUGAUAAAGUGCAGCCAUAAUGGAACACAACCAGAUUAAAUUAAUCAGUGAUGUCAAAGGAUCCGGUUGCACAGACCACCCCUGUCUGGACGACGGCUAAAGGAACACAACACCUUCCACAUGAGUAUCAUAUCCCUGGAUCACUUGGAGCUGGACUGGAUUGUGUCACCGCCAGGGGACCAGGAUACACGGAAGUGUGCUUAACGGGAGGCAAUCCCAGCCUAGAGCACAAAGCUCCCACCACCCUUUAAACACGGGAACUACGGCUCUGUCAUGCAGAAAAUGUCAGGCGCUCUAUUCUCAACUCCUCUAUAACCUUUUGAUUUAUGCUAUAUGUUAAAAGAGAACAAUUCACUGAUGUUUUCUUUGUGCACAGACACUGUUCCGGAUAGUCUAGAGGCAGGUUUGGUGAUACCUCUGCAGGAACCAUGCUGUUCUUUCAGAACUGGAACCACAUCUGUUUUUUGUGAUAUCUGGUCGGUUUUUAGGUCUGAACUUAUAGUUAUUGUGGCUAAAAUGAAGAAUUACCAUAGCCAAUCAGACAAUACACUUUAUUACAUUAUAUGGUGCAUUUCAUUUAGGUAAAACAGGUGUUUUGAGUUAGAAUCCUAUCAAGUUACGGGGAAAGUGAAAUAACCUGCACCUGGAGAAAGUACAUUGUUUCUUUUGAUACAAAAAGGCGGAGGCACACUUUUGGUCUUAAUACCCCUUUUUUUCUUCAUCCUUUUUACAGAGGACAACGCGAUUUACAAUACCUGGAGAGGAGCCCGGGUAACUGGAGUGGUUGAGGGUUGGUGUGCCCAGUGGAGGCACUAUUCACAUUCAGUUCAUUCCAGUCAGCAUGACAACCCAACAACAAGUCAAUCAAUCACCUGUUGCGUGCCAGUCUCGCAGUCUCUGUGCUUUAAAAGCAACAGUACACCUGGUGGAGGCACAGACAAGAGACACGACUGGCUUGUUUCUCAUCAGAGUCAUCAGAGCUUUUGCACUGGACAUACCUCCAGACACAGCAAACACACGUGAAUACAAAUUCCCUGAAAAUGAGAAAGGGACAAUUCUGUAAGUGAAAUUAAAUUGGUAAUUUACAAUCUACUUUACUUCUGA
Long non-coding RNA from Osmerus eperlanus (European smelt), 1276 nucleotides. RefSeq lists it as uncharacterized. NCBI's taxonomy places the organism in Eukaryota, Metazoa, Chordata, Actinopteri, Osmeriformes, Osmeridae. The transcript is spliced from 4 exons. The record is from RefSeq and is a predicted model, not a curated record.